This 497-nucleotide ribosomal RNA is filed under the name uncultured bacterium. RNAcentral describes it as "partial 16S ribosomal RNA". It matches the Rfam family "Bacterial small subunit ribosomal RNA", at positions 28 to 507 of the family's 1533-position model. The record is from RNAcentral.
GAUGAACGCUGGCGGCGUGCCUAAUACAUGCGAGUCGAGCGAACGGACGAGAGGCUUGCUUCUCUGAUGUUAGCGGCGGACGGGUGAGUAACACGUGGAUAACCUACCUAUAAGACUGGGAUAACUUCGGGAAACCGGAGCUAAUACCGGAUGAUAUUUUGAACCGCAUGGUUCAAAAGUGAAAGACGGUCUUGCUGUCACUUAUAGAUGGAUCCGCGCUGCAUUAGCUAGUUGGUAAGGUAACGGCUUACCAAGGCAACGAUGCAUAGCCGACCUGAGAGGGUGAUCGGCCACACUGGAACUGAGACACGGUCCAGACUCCUACGGGAGGCAGCAGUAGGGAAUCUUCCGCAAUGGGCGAAAGCCUGACGGAGCAACGCCGCGUGAGUGAUGAAGGUCUUCGGAUCGUAAAACUCUGUUAUUAGGGAAGAACAUAUGUGUAAGUAACUGUGCACAUCUUGACGGUACCUAAUCAGAAAGCCACGGCUAACUACGUG